AGUGAACGCUGGCGGUAGGCCUAACACAUGCAAGUCGAACGGCAGCACAGGAGAGCUUGCUCUCUGGGUGGCGAGUGGCGGACGGGUGAGGAAUACAUCGGAAUCUACUCUGUCGUGGGGGAUAACGUAGGGAAACUUACGCUAAUACCGCAUACGACCUACGGGUGAAAGCAGGGGAUCUUCGGACCUUGCGCGAUUGAAUGAGCAGAUGUCGGAUUAGCUAGUUGGCGGGGUAAAGGCCCACCAAGGCGACGAUCCGUAGCUGGUCUGAGAGGAUGAUCAGCCACACUGGAAAUGAGACACGGUCCAGACUCCUACGGGAGGCAGCAGUGGGGAAUAUUGGACAAUGGGCGCAAGCCUGAUCCAGCCAUACCGCGUGGGUGAAGAAGGCCUUCGGGUUGUAAAGCCCUUCUGUUGGGAAAGAAAUCCAGCUGGCUAAUACCCGGUUGGGAUGACGGUACCCAAAGAAUAAGCACCGGCUAACUUCGUGCCAGCCGCCGCAGUAA
RNAcentral lists this ribosomal RNA (506 nucleotides) under uncultured bacterium. Its description in RNAcentral is "partial 16S ribosomal RNA". It matches the Rfam family "Bacterial small subunit ribosomal RNA", at positions 29 to 523 of the family's 1533-position model. The record is from RNAcentral.